UCUCCACCAAAAUUCAACCACCCUUUUGAAUAAAUCUCAUUUAUCCCUACAGGGUCUCUUAUAAUGGACCUAUCAAAAAAAGGUGUUAGAUGUUGAGGUAAUGACAAAGAGGGUGUGUUUUUUUCAAGGUUGGAACAAAAGUAAGACCAUGCUUUCAUAAACAAGGUUGAAGAUUUUCCAUCAACAGCUGCAUGGUGUGUGGUUAUACCAAUACAAAAUCCAUGGUUAGGAAAAAAAGUGACUUGUAGUGAAAUAAUUGAUGCUUUUUCAUUUGAAAUCUCCAAACUUGGGAUUAAGUGUUGUUUUUUUUCAACUUCACAAAAAUUUGAACAUAAAAGGUUGAAAUUUUCAUUUGAUUCAGCUACAAUCAAUGGAAUGGAAUCACUAGGGACAUAGUUGAUGAUGGGAUGUGAUGAAUCUUGUGGCCAUGUGAUGUUACCAACAAGAAGGAAGAGAGUGUUUGAGAUUUGGAAGAAUGGAAUCAAAAAAAGAAGUGGUUGAUAAAUUUGGGUGUUCAUAAAAGAAGAGACGUUCAACUGGUGGGAGUCUUAGCCAUAGUGAGUCAAAGAAAGUGAAGGGAAAAGUAGUUGGGGAGGUUUCAUUUUGAGGUGCUAUUGAAAAAUUUUUAUGAACUUUGAGAGAUAUUGCCAUGAGAAAUUGAUGAGGAAAUGAGGCUUGGCAAUUUGUAGACUUAAUAAGCAUUUUAUGAUGAUGAUGAUGAUGAUACAUAGGCUAUGAAUAUGCUUUCAAUAUAUGACAAGGACAUAUCUAGGAAUCACACGUCACAUGGUUCGAAUUGGUGAGGAUUUGAAGUAUUUAUCUAAGGGGAACUUCUACGGUACACUGUAAAUUAAGGUGUACUGGUAUUUUUAUUUCAUAAAUUUAUAAAUUAAUGAUCAAUUUUAUGAAAUAAAUAGUUAUUUAUCGGUAUUUAUAUUUUAGAAAAUACUAUUUCAUAUGUCAUUCAUUGUUUAUAAGAAUCAUAGUAUUUUUUUUAGAUAUUAUCGUAUAAAAUAAUCAAAGUUCUCUAUUAUAAGCGAUAAAAAUUCAAAAAAAUCAAUUUUAUUUCGUUUACGCUUGUGAUGAAUAAGAUUUAAUCAUUAUAAUUAUAAAUAAAAAAUAAUAAUAUUUUUCUUCAUAAAAUAACUCAUUUACCAAUAAAAUUAAAGGUUUGGUGUACCGAUACACUCAAAUAUGUUGGGUGUACCGUAGAAUUUGUCUAUGUAAGCUCCUUUUCACCUUAUUGUUUUGUUUUUUACUUUAGGAAAUUUUUGAUGUAGGAUGUCGGCAAAGAUGUUGAACAUAUUGGUUUCAAGUCAUACGUGUCGAAAAGGCAAGUUUGCAAAUAAAGGGUGACCAUUCUUUGGAUGAUCUCCGUGCUUUUUUUUUUUAUUUGUGUUUGAACUUCGAAACUUGCAUAUAUAAUGCAUUGUCUAUACCAACUAAAUUAAAUUCACGAACACCUCUUUGUGUUUAACGUUGAUAUAUAAAAUACUAACGAGUUUUUAAAAUUUUACCAUAUCAACUUUCUUAUAUUGUAUUUAAAAAUUUACUUAUGUAAUUUUAAAUUUUUAAAAUCUACAACAAGCGUGGGCCAAAUAUUUAACGUGUUUUGUAUAUAAAAUAAAAAAUAUUUAAUAAAAAAAUACAUUAAUGUCGAUAUUUUGAAAAUAGUCACGAGUUUUCAAAAUAUUAUCAUAUCGACUUUCUCGUAUAGUACAUAAAAGUUUACUUCUAUACAUUUGUCAAUUUUUUUUACUUCUAUAUCUAUAAGUAAAUAAAAUCUGCAACGGAAGCGAUGCAAAUAUUUAACAGAUUUUUGCAUACUAAAAAAAAAUAUUUAAUUAAUAAACCUCUUAAAACAUAUUUAACAUAAACAUUACAUUAAUGCCGAUAAUUUUCAUCUAAUACAUUUAUACAUUUUACAAUAUUUACAAUGUAAUUAUUUUUUAUAUAAUUACCACAAUAUUACGCGAUCUAUCUGAAUACACAUAUUUUUACUAAUGAUGCUUAAAGAGCCACCAUCGAUCUAAAAUGGUACACAAAAAUGAAUAUGAAUAUGUACCUUGACUGACCUCGACAUAAAUGUUACAAUAAUGACGUGGCUAUGCAUUGUUGCAUCUAGAAGUAAAACACCAGUACACCACCUUAAUUUGGUGAAAUUAUUCUACCGACACAAUCAUAAAUAAUAAAUAUUUACAUUCACAUCAAAUACAAAAAUUAAUAAAAAAUAAAACUAAAUAACAUUGAUUGAUGUGGUUUAUUUAUUUUUAUUUUAAUUUUUUCUAUUUGAUGUAAAUGUGUUCAAAUAUUUAUCAUUUUUGAUUGUGUUUACAUAAGAGUUUCUUAAUCAAUCCUAAACAAAAAUAUUCAUAGAAAAGAAUACGUGGACUGCAUAAUGCAUUAUUUCAAUUACUUGCUUAUCACAUCACAAUCACAUACUAUAUUAUUCCUUAAAAAAAUCACAUACUAUAUUACUGGCAUCUUGACAUUAUGCUAAGAAAAUAUAUAAGACGACAAAAAAACUAUGACUACAACAUGUUUGAAAGUUUACACUGUGGAGAGAUUCAAGGAGACAAACAUUGAAGGCGCCUUGAGUUUGAGAUAAAACAAGUAUAUGAAGCUAAAACAUCCAGAUUUGAGGAGGCAAAGCUUACCAUUCAUUAAUUCAUUUCAAUCUAACAAAUAUCCUUAAAAAAAAAUUGUGAAUAUUUUUCUUUUUUCUCUUUUACAAUUUGUUUUUUCUCCAGAUUUAUUUAAUAACUGAUGUAUUUAGUUUAUAUUGUAAACCAAAAACAUUAAUUAUAUAAUAAAUCUUUAAACAAAUUGUUUAUGUCUGAGACCAAAUUCAUAAUAAAAUACUCUCUCCGUUUCAAAUUGUAUAACGUUUUGGACAUUUCACACAUAUUAAGAAAUGUAAUUAAUAUUGUGUGAGAAAGAGAUAUUAUGAGUUGUUUUACAAAAUUGUCCUUAAUAAAUUAUAUGAGAAAGAUAAAUGAAUGAAUUGAAAGAAAAGAGAGUAAUAAAUAGUUAAAGACAUAAUAGAAAAAGUAACAUUAAUAUUUUAUUAGUAUUGUAAAGCGACAUAUAAUUUGCGACAAUUUUUUUUCUUUCUAAAAUGACUUACAAUUUGGGACGGAGGGAGUACAUAUUAACAUAAGUAUUUUAAUUUGACAAAAAAAAAAUGUAUUUUAAGAAUUUAUCUUGUCCUACUUGGGGUGAUGAGCUAGAAGACAUUGAGCGAGUUUAAAGCAAAAGGUCCUCAACAAUUUCAAUUUCCAAACUUAUAAAAACAAUUCAAAAUAUAAAUCCAAGAUGUGAAUCGUCUGAUCUAAAUCGAGAGAUUAAAAUCUACAACAGUACGAUUGUGUUUUUUUAAAAGGCAAAGUAAUAUAUGAUAGACAAUCCAUUUUCUUGAUACAAUUACAAUGAUUCAAGUCCUUGAACAAAAAGUUGAGCAAAAACCUCCAUUUGUUGUUUGUUCAAAGCCAAACCAAUCUCAAUUCCACCAUCAUUAUUCCUAUUCUCCGAAAGAGAAAAAGCUCCUGUUUUAUCAAUAGAAGUAACAUCAACUUUCUUAGGUUUACCCCAUCCAAAAUCAAAACUAUAAACAUCAAACCUAGGUGACCCGGCAAUAGAAAACAUCCUAUCUGUCUCACUCAUUGUAGAUUGCAUUAUUGACAUCCAAUUCUCCAAACCCUUCAACACACCAUUUUCCAAACCCUUCAACACAUCACUUAUCCCUUCAAGAGCACUAAUAAAUCCAUCAUCUUUUAAAAAUUCCUCGGUUUCACCCAAAACUAAUUUUGACACAACACAAUUUCCAAAAUAAUUUGCAUUAAUUGGUGGAUCCAAACGUGGCCUACAAUCCACACUAAAAAUAAAAGGUACCUUGUUGGAUUUUGGUUGGUCAACUUUUAUCGUACAUGCCAACAAAUAAGCACAAGUAACUGAAAAAGUUGAAAGCUUAAUAACCUUGUUAUUUUUUUCAAUCUUGGAUUGUGCAUGUUUCUUAAGCUUUUGAAUAUCCAAAGGUGACAAUUGAAAAAUACCUUUGGUUGCUUCACCCUUUAUUGUAUUAAUUGUUUCCCAAACCUUCAAGCUUCGAUUAUUUGUUUCUCCACCAAAAUUCAACCACCCUUUUGAAUAAAUCUCAUUUAUCCCUAUAGGGUCUCUUAUAAUGGACCUAUCAAAAAAAGGUGUUAGAUAUUGAGGUAAUGACAAAGAGGGUGUGUUUUUUUCAAGGUUGGAACAAAAAUAAGACCAAGCUUUCAUAAACAAAGUUGAAGAUUUUCCAUCAACAGCUGCAUGGUGUGUGGUUAUACCAAUACAAAAUCCAUGGUUAGGAAAAAAAGUGACUUGUAGUGAAAUAAUUGAUGCUUUUUCAUGUGAAAUUUCCAAACUUGGGAUCAAGUGUUGUUUUUUUUCAACUUCACAAAGAUUUGAACAUAAAAGGUUGAAAUUUUCAUUUGAUUCAGCUACAAUCAAUAGAAUGGAAUCACUAGGGACAUAGUUGAUGAUAGGGUGUGGUGAAUCUUGUGGCCAUGUGAUGUUACCAACAAGAAGGAGGAAGUGGUUGAGUGUGAGCUCAAGGGAAUGUUUGAGAUUUGGAAGAAUGGAAUCAAAGAAAAAAUUGGUAGAUAAAUUGGUGUGUUCAUAGAAGAACAAACGUUCAACCGGUGGAAAUCUUACCCAAAGUGUGUCAAAGAAAGUGAAGGGAAAAGUAGUUGGGGAGGUUUCAUUUUUUGGUGAUAUUGAAAAAACUUGAUGAACUUUGUGAGAUUGUGCCAUAAGGGAGGGAAGAAAUUGAUGAGGAAGUGAGGCUUGGCAAUUUGUUGACUUUAUAAACAGUUUAUGAUGAUGACGAUGAUGAUACAUAGGCUAUGAAUGUGCUCUCAAUAUAAUAAUAAUAAUAAUAAUAUAAUAAUACAUUCUUUAUAAAUCAAUUCCUUAAGGUAUCCAAUUUAUUUGCAUACAAAUAGUGCAUACAAACAAUUUCAACACUAAUAGUGCAUACAAAUCAAUUCCUUAAGGUAUCCAAUUUAUUUGGAGGAAAGAUGUCCCGUUUAAGAUAUCGGUAUUUGCUUGACGACUUUUUCGUAAUAGAUUGUCUACGAAUGAUAAUUUAUUUUAAAGGAGGAUUAUAUAGGAAUAUGCUCAGUUGUGUGCUUCUGGAUGUGGGAUGUUUGAAUCGGCGGAUCACCUAUUUUUGCAUUGCGAUGUGUUUGGUCAGGUUUGACAACUUGUUCGUCAUUGGUUAGGUGUUUCUUCAAUAAACCCAUUAACCACCUCGGAUCAUUAUCUUCAGUUUUGUAUUUCUUCUGGUUUUGCUAAUUCCAGAUGCUCUUUUAUGCAUUUAGUAUGGUUUGCAAGCAUUUGGGCAAUUUAGAAGGAAAAGAAUGCAAGAAUAUUUUGUGUAAAAGAAUCAUAAGUUCAAAUCUAGGUCACCACAUUUCACCUCGCUUAUGUGUGUGUUUAUUUGAAUAUUUGUUGGUGACUAAGCUAAUAAAAAAAAUACGCAGUAAGAUUCAAUAACAUGAUUUUUUAGUUUGUACAAAAAAAACAUAAUUUUUUAGUUUCCUCCUUGUUUUUUAGGACGAAGGAGGGUGCAAGAUAAUUAAAGUGGCUUCUUAUAAUUUUUUAUUUUAUAACAAUGAUAGUUUUAUUAAAUGCUAAAACUGUUUAAACAUUCAAUAUAUUAAGUUUUUUUUUUUGUUACGGUCAAUGCUUUUCUUAGUGUCAAUAUUAAAGAUAUAAAAAAAAAAAAAUUAAAAAACCGUUUAUGGGAUUUUAUUCUUCAUUAUUGAAGGCUGGAUCUAACCUAAGGAUCCAUCUAGACUUCAUAACGUGCAAAUCAAUAUUAGUUAAUGAUCUAGUCACGAUGAUUAUUUAUACUCAGUGUCUUACAUACUUCAAAUAUACUUAACUUUACUAGAGGAAACCUAAAACUUAUUUUCUCUGAUCACAUUUAUAGUAGAUAUUCGUCCGUUAUUUAAUUAAUCUAGAAAAUGAAUAGUUGUUUAUAAUUUUUGUUUUGGUAGUGUAUAGUUGUUUAUUAUUUUUUUUGACAAAAAUAAAAUGAUAUUCAUUCAUUCAAAUCGAGAGAUUACAUCAUUCAACACCGCUAAAAACGUAAAGGAUGAAUCUGCGAACAAACUUACAUCAUCUAAGUUAAUAGCAUAUAACAACAUAAUGCCUACAAAAAUAUAUGAUAAAAUUAAAGUGAUCGGAAUAUCCAUGACCUCCGAAUCUGCAACGUUGAUGCCCAAAUCUUUGAUUGAAUAAUCGAUCUUUCAAUAUGAAUCAAAUGAACACCUCACGAAGACGGGAAAUCAAACAACACCGCACAAGACGACGAACAACAAACCACCACACUUAGAUGAUGAAAUCACAAAGGAAAAACAAAAAAACCUAGAUCUAUAUAUGUGAAAAUCACUUAUUUAGAUUGAAAUAGAGAGAAAAGAUGAAGAUGAGUGAUUUCAGGUCAAGAAUUGACCCAAAACCACCCCUCAAUGGAGAAACUGUAAGAGAAAACCUAAAGAGAUAAAACUAGAUUUGCCUUAUUAGUGUAUAGUUGUUUAUAAAUGUAACAAGAAUUUUAUAUUUUUAAUGUCAUAUAGUUUUUUUGUUAUAUCACUAACAACAUAGCCUUAAUAUUUAAUACUACUAAUUUUAUUUUUUUUGAAAGAAUUUAAUACUACUAUUUUGAAAACUCGUAUAACAUGCAUUCAAUGAAGGGCGUAAGCCCUCUUUUACCACAAAAAAAAAAACUCGUAAUGGAUGUUGCUAUCAACGUAGUCGUGAGUCUAUGAGAAACGAAUCUUAAUUGUUGAGUUAGGUCAAUACAUUUGUCUCACCAACUCCGUCAUAUGCAUCCAAGCAGGCAGGCAGCUGUAUAUCAUUUGGAUUUGGAAGCUUCUUUUCUACUUUUGAAAAUCAUUUCUAAAAUAUACUAAAAAAUUUAAAAAUUUAUGUCAUUCUAAGACAAAAAUACUUUUUUAUUUAUUUCCAAAAUACAUUUUUUUAUGUGAAAAAAUAUAUUUUCAUAUUUGUGGUAGGAGAGAGAAGCUCUCAUUUCAUUUAACAUAUUUUAAAAGAGAUAUUUGAGUCAAAAAAAAUUAAUGUAUCUGAUCAAAAUAAAACCAAAUACAUCUAUCCGUUGAUUUAAAUGUUUUUUAUAUCUAUAAUUGGGAUUGUAUGAACUUAGUUUUUCAUUUUGUAUGGCAAGCAUAUGAGUUAUGUCCACACUUUUAUUAUCGCAAAAUUAAAUGACGUGGUAGUUAACAAUUGUUUCAAUGUUGUUUUUCAUUUGAAUUAAACAUUCAAGACAUUGUUUAGUUUUAUCUUCUUUCUAAUGUACUUUUAGUUGCUUCAUCAUGUAUAAUAUUAUAUAUGUUAGACAAAUCUCUCUAUUUGCUAAAAAAAAAGAGACAAAUCUCUCUAUCUCCAUGUAUAUUCCAUACUUAAAGCUUAUCUCUAUGUAUAUUCUAUACUUAAUGCUUAUUUUUGUCUAAACUUAAUCUUAGCUUGGCUCAGAUGGCUCAUAUAUGUCAAUGUAUUUUGAUAGUUGCGGCUGUGUUGAAUUGUAAAUUUAAAACAUUUUAAUAUAUGGGGUUUAAGUUGAUUUUAAUUAAUUAUGUGUUGAUGGUACGUGAGUCGACUUCGUGUUAACGAUCGAUUCAUUUGCUAAAUGUUAGAUCCGAGCUUGAUUGUUAGAAUUGUUUAAGAUUGGAUCUACUUUAUGGAUAUUUUAGGGUUGUUGACCGAGUCAGGUUUUAUGUCCCUCCAAUUUUUAUGUAUUUUUUAAUAAUAUAUAUGAAUAAUUGACACUGAUUAGAGUAACAUACCAACUUAGUUGGACACUAUUCCUUUUUAUGUCAUUUUACUCUUAGCUUAUAAAAAAUUUAAUCAUGUGUUUUUUUUAUAAAAUAUUUUCUUUCAAAAACAAAAAUCUUAAGAAAAAAAGUGAUGUUAACAAAGAAAAAGGGGUUAAAAUCCUCUCCAUUCACUAUUUAUUUUUUGUUCAUUGAGGUGACAAAACAAAAGACCAGCACUAGGAGUAUCAAUAUAGCAAUGCAAGGGGGAGUUGGAAGUAAAGAAAUUGUCACGUUUUCCAACUAAUAGCAUGUUUGGAUUUAUGUUGCAGUGCCUUUUUCGAGUCUCAUUGCGUUCUAGACGUGAUAAUAAAGAAGCUUUAAUUUGUAGAGUUUGGAAAAACGUACGUUUGGUGGUAUCCCACUGUGGAAACAAACACAAGUUAAAGGAGGAACAACGGCAAACACUUUGUGAAACAAUUGAGCUUAAGACGUUUUGGUGAUUGAAAUCAAAAUAUAUUACAUUCGAUUUUGAUUACUAUUUUUUGAAGGAUUAAUCAUAUUCAUUGUUUGUCUUUUUUUUUAAGAGCAAUGAUACAUGGACAUUCCCAUGUGGCAUACCACCAUCUACACCCUUCCAUGUGGCAUUUUUUUAUUAGUUAUAAUGGGCAAUUUUGUCUUUAAAAAUAAAAUGAGGGGCAAUUUUGUCCAAUACACUCACAACAACUUUCUCACCCUCUCUUUUCUGUCUUUCUUCUCCUUUACCGGCCACCACCACCAACUCCCACCGGCCACCGUUGUCCUCCGUCCUCAACCUCAAAUAUCACAUCUACCACCACCAUCGCCACCGUCCAAAAGCUAGAUCUCACAACCGUCGCCCUCGUCUCGAAGCUCAGAUCUCACCACCACUGCAGCCACCACAACCACCGUCAUUUUCAGAUCUAAACACACCCAUCGAUCGUCAUCAUUAACCUCUCAUCUCGACGCCUCCACCACCACCGUCCUCGCACUCUUUCUCCAAAACACAACAACAACAAUUUUAAACAAACCCAAAACAAGAGACGGCGAUGGCGUCGGAAUUUGAGGAAACAAGUGGCAGAGAGAAAGAGGUGAGGGAGAAGAGAGAAAUAGAGACAACCAUUUGAGGAGAAGGAGAGAAAAAAAUCAGAAUAGAGAGAUAUGAGGAGAAAGAGGAGAUCGGCAGGAAGAGAGAAGGAGAAAAUAAAAUUAGGGAGAGAGAAAGAUGAGAUAAGAUUUCAGGGGAGAGAGUGACAAAAAAUUUAAAAUUAAAAUGCCAUGUAGGAGGUGUACAAUGUGGUAGAGAAAAAAGGAGGUCUAUGAUGUAUCCUUUUUCUUUUUUUAAAGUUGUUCCUCUCUUUUUUUGCUUAUCCUUUAUUGAAUUUGUGAUGUAACAUUGUAACUCUUGUAAGUUUUUCCGAUAAACCUUGAGUUGGAAGGAGAAAUAAUACAAAGGUAAGGGACAUAGACCAAACCCACAAUGAACAUAAGGAAAUUUAUGAUUAUGCAAAGUUGAAUAUAUUCAUAAAGAAAUCCACCUACAAAAGCUUUGUCAUCGCAUUCCACCAACUAAAAUCAGAAAUGAUCAUACAAAUGAAACUAACCAAAAUAUGAAAAUUCUAUUAAUGAUGAUAUAAGUAUCUACCGAGUUCCCUUAAAAAAAAUAGUCUAUACCGAGUCCAAAACAACUAAAAUACUCGUAUGAGUUUAUACAAAUAAGUACUCCGUCCUAAAUUAUAAGUAAAAAAAACCUAUUUUCUUUGUCCCAAAUUAUAAAUAAAAAAGACUAACUUUUAUCAUAUUCAAAUAUGUUUUUUUAAAAAAUUAUCUUUUUCAAAGGAAAAUUAAAUGCAAAAUGCAUUCAAUUUGCUCUCAUUUUCAUUUUCUCUAUAAUCAACUACCAAUGAAAAUUAUUUUUACAUCUUCCUAUAAAACUUAUUUCAAAGAUAACACAAAAAACUAUGUUACAAACUACUACCUAUAUUUUAAUUUUUUUAAUAAAUGUGAUUUAUGUUUUUUUGCUUAUAAUAUAAAACGGAGGGAGUAUAUUCAUUAAUUUAACCAAGAAUGGUGUACUGUACCCAACAUAUUUAAAGUGUAUCAGUUCAGUUCAUCAAGAAUGAUUAAACACAUAUUUUAUCAUUAUUUAUGAAUCAUAUGCAUGAUUCGAUUAAUUAAUUGAGACUAAAUUAGAUAUUUAGUUUCAUAAUUGAUUUUAUAGUUUUAUUUGGUCUCAUAACUACAACUACUUGCGCAUUGGUCCCUAAAAUAGAUUUUCGUUAGUGGUCUCAUUAUGUCAAUUUAAACCUCAAAUGUUUAAGGUGGAUCAACAUUGUAGGUACUACAAUAGAUCUCAUUAUAUAUAUAAUUUUAACCAUUAUAUUUUUUUAUAAAAAAUGGGGAUCAUUGGAUAUCAUGUAGAUCUAUUAUAUCUUAUCGUAAACUAUAACACCCUACUUCUAUUAAAGCAAUUAAACAUGCGAAUAAUACAUUUAUUCAAGAAAUAGAGGCUACGCCACAUUCAAAAUUCAAAAAACCAAUAAACAUGUAUAUAAACCUCAACAGUCGCAGCGGAAUAUUAACCAGAGUAAAUCCAAGUAUACAUGUUAUGAAUCAAUAAAUUACAUCAACAUCGAUGCAUCUCAAAAAUCCCAACAAACGGGUAAUCUCCAAUCAUAACAAAAUCCAAAAUAUAAGAUAAUCUAGACCGACACAACGAAGCCUAGAUCAGAGCCGACUAAACAUCUAAACACCGAUAUCGGAGAAAGCUCGCGAUAUCCACCAAGCACAAUACUCACCAAGCAUCCUACACUUGCACAACGUCUACCCAUCCAUACAGAUAGGCAGGCGGUCCAUAACAGAUCCACUGGGGGUAAGUAUUACAUUAUCAUAAUACAAAUAACAAAUAACAUAAAUAUUUCAAUUUAAACAUCAUGCAAUUGAUCAAUAAUAAUAACACAUUAAUACUUACAUCACACCCCGAUAUCUCACAUCAAUAUUCAUCAAUCAUAUGAACAAUUAUCAAUUUACAAAUAUUCAUUCACAAUCACCAAUCACAUUUAUCAUGAAUAAUCAUUAAUCACAUUUCAUGAACAAUCACCAAUUACAUGUAUCAUGAAUAAAUAUCAAUUAACAGUUAUUCAUACACAAUCACCAAUCAUAUACAUCAUGAACAAUCACCAAUCAUAAGCCAUGAACAUUCACCAAUUACAUUUCAUGAACAAACAUCAUUCACAUGUAUCACGUACAAUCAUCAACACAAGUAUCAAGGGCAAUCAUCAAUCACAUACAUCAUUUAAGACUCAUGUCAUGAUAUGCACUUAUUGACACAUAAAUGCAUGUGGUACCAAAUCUCAACAAGGUCGUCACCUUUCGAUGCCACUUGCACAUCGUAUGUAAGGCUCACACCUGCCUUACAAUAAUCUCGAAGUAAAAGAGCUCAACCCUUUUACAACAACAUCGACUAUGAUGCAUGGACAUGUAUAAGGACUCGAUAAUGCGACAACAAUUAACAAUCUCAACCUCAAUAUAUAGGACAACACCCAAUUAUAUUGAUUAUCUCCACAACAUUGCAUUAUCAAGAAAACAUGCCCACACAAAUAAAUCAUAGCAUUCACCAUCACACCUCAACAUGAUUAUCAAUAAUCAACAAUGUCAUCCAACAUCAACUAUCACAUAUAGUUUCACCAUUUCAAACAAUUCUCAUAUUCCAAGUAAGAGAACAUACAACAUCUCAUGACAAAUAUCAUAUCCAACAUAUAAUCAUUCAACAUCAACUAUCACAUAUAGUUUCACCAUUCAAGCAUUCCUUACAUUCUAAGUAAGAUAGCAUACACAUCUCAUGAUAAACAUCAUAUCCAAUACAAUCAUUCAUUCAAACAUCUUCACUUAGUCAUAUAAGGAUAGUCACGAUAGAUUAUAAGAAAAUUGGUUCAAAGGAAACAUUUCCGACAAAAACCGUAUCAAGUGGCAAAAGGCCAACAUUGAUAAUUCCCAAGACAAAGCAACUUAGACAAAUUGAAAGCUCUCAAAAAAUCUUAAUCAAUAAUGUAGUCAUGAGCUUAAGCCACUUACAAACUAUUAGACAUCAGUUCAAAGAAUAACUUAAGUUCGUAUGAGAAAACCCAAUUUCACAAUCUUUCACAUUCCCAUCCGAAAUAUCAUUUUUGACAUGAUUAAGAUGUUUGACCAACCAUACAAGUCUUACCUAAGUCUAUAAGAGAUGUAGGUUUAACUUGUAAUCCUAUUUAGUUCACAAAAGUUCAUUUUGACAAAAUCCGACAUUUCCUAAAAUUCCAAGUUCCAUAUCAUUUCUUCCAUAUUUCAAAACCAAUUCAUUUUCAAAACAAAAACCAAGUUAGGAUCAAGCUAUGAUACUCUUAGAAGCUUAAUUAUAAAUUGAUUGAAUAAGGUUAAGAGUUUGGAAUCCAUUGGCAUGCUUAAAAGUACACAAAAACACGAAAAAACGAGGUUUCGGAAUUCUGCAGAACUGACACGGUCGUGCCAUCAGGAAGCACGGUCGUGCUCCCUUUACAGGAGAAACUGACACGGUCGUGUCAUCUAGACGCACGGUCGUGUCACCUCACCAGUACAGCAAAAUGCAUUUUUACGUUUUUGCGCAUAAAAUCUUGUUUUCGAAUCCGAUUUCAAUUCCGUUUUCGCCAAUGAAUUCCUAACACUUAGACCAUACAAACCACACUUGAAAACUUGACAUUUAAACAUUAAAACAACUUAAUCAACUCAUCCCAAAAUGACUUAUUUUGCAAAAGCACUUAAAAACCACUUUUACUCAAAAACCCGUUUUCUUCCCAAAACGAUUUCUCUCCAAAACCAAGUGAUUAAAACAGAAAAUCAUACCAUCAUAAUUCAUUAUAACAACUUCCUUAUCUCAUUCAACAUCAUCAAAAUCAAACUUCUUCUUUAUCAACCCAUUUUACAAAACCACCAACAACAACUCAUUUUCUCAACAACAAUCAUGAUAUAUGAACACCCAAGCCAAAAUUCAUGAUCAACAACAUAUCUCAGCAACAACAACAUCAAUUGAAACUUGAUUCACACACCAAUUCAACAACAACAUGUCAUAAGUCAUCAAUUAAGCAUAAUUUCACAACAACCCAUUUUCAUACAUUAUGAACAUAUUAUUUCAUCAUCAACCAUUCAUUUAACAUCAAAUAACAUAUCCAAACAUAUCUCUACAACAUAAGCACGAAUUUCAAAGAUUGGGUUCAUGAUAAUCACUUAUUCUCAUAAUCAAUUAUGCAUAAAAUCAAGAGAAAAAGAAUUAAACAAAUGAUUAUGAUAAAGACUAACCCCCUUACCUUUGAAGAUGAUUAUUCCUAAACUCUUGCUUCAAUUCAGCUCCUAAUCUUACCCCAAUUAUUCCUCAAGCUAUUCUCUUCAAAACCCUUGUUCUUCUCAUCACCUCUUUCUCUCUCUAGGAAAAUUUUAGUGAAGUGAACGAAAGAUAUUUUCUAUGACAACCCUAAUGUUAUCUCCCUUAAUGGGCUUAACUCAAAAUGCUAAUGGGCCUAACCCAUUCUAACAUAAUUCUAAAAAGUUUCUAUACACCCCACGGUAAUUACUAACAACGGUAAAACAUAACCAACUGUCACUAACGGUAAAAACUAAUCACAACACUAGUAACUUAGUAAAAUAAGGGUUCUCACUUAAUAUGAAAAUAAUUCUCACCCAAAUUACCAUUUUACCCUUACCCGUCAAAUGACCAAAAUACCCUCCUAAUACGGAAAUCCAUGUAAAUGCACCCACUGACAAUUAAUUACACACAAGCACCAAUAAUCACACACAAACACAUAAUAAAAGUAAUUAAAAUAAAUCUAGCUAAAAAUCGGGCUGUUACAUAAACCACCAACAAUUAAUUUUUUAUUUUUGUUUUAAAAAAAUAAUAAUUUACUUUUCUUCAUCUUCUUCCUCCAUCUUCUUCUUCCUCAUCUUCUUACACAUUCAAACCUAUAAAAUAAAGCUGAAUUUUUUUUUUAUAAACUUGAUCUUCAUCUCUUCUUCUCUCAAAAGUUUAAAACUCAAUUCAUUUUUAUAAAAACUCAAAUUCAGGAGUUUCCCUCCUUCCAAAUACUUCAAAACAAACCAUUUAUUAAGAAAGUGAGAAAGAGAGAAAUGAUUCAUUAACUUGAAUAGAAGUUCAUGAAGGUAUUUUUAUACAUUUCUCAAAUGUACUAUAUAUCUAAGAUGAAGUGUACUACAUAAAAUAACCUAAUUGUACAACACUAGCUUUGUGACUUGUACUGCAAGCUAUCUUCAUUCUCAUGCUUUUUAUCCUUUGAAUCUAAUAGCAUUCGAAUUAGAUGCAAACAAGACUGAGUAUUUUCGGAGAAUAAAGCAAAGCCACCAGACUAAAUAGAAUGAUCAACAACAAAAUUAGAACUAAAUCCUAAAUUUUAUCAGAAAAUUCACAUUCAAAAAACAAAUGAUUAACAGUUUCAUCUUUUCAAAAAAACAAUUUCAUCUUUCUCACAUCCUAUAGUAAUAACAAGAGAUUCAGAACGAAGAAUCUCACGACGAACUAAAUUGGCCUUUGUAGAAAUCCUAUUAUUGAGAAGCCACCAAUCAAACAAGGACAAUUUCAACAAAGUUGUUUUAUUCCAACUAACAUUCAAGAGAGCUGAAGAUGUUGGAUAAAUUAUUUAAUUAAUCAAUUAUAAAUUGAUUCUAACAAAUUUUCAGAAAUUAUUUUUAAUACUACUAUAAAUUAUGGUACAUUAAUGUUUUAAGAAUUAAGUAAUUGAUGAAUAUGUGUGUUAGACUCUUUUUCUGAAUGGACAUGAUGGAUCAAACCAUACAAUUAAGCUCAAUUCGAGGUUCGUGUCCUCGAUCGUUUAACUAAUUCAAAGUCAUCCUAUCAAACGGUUAAACAUAAAACAAUAAUGUAAUAUGUGUAUGCAUUCAUGAUCUAUCUUUGAUAAUGUAAAAUAUAUGUUGUAAUUUGUAUUUUGAUAUGGCUAACUCUGUUAAAUUCAACAAUGGUAUCGGAGAAAAAAUAUAUAUUUUAUGGGUAUUUGUUUUUGAAUCGUCUGAACGGAAUAUGUUUUCCCCGUAUACUUAUUUUCAAUUGUUUGCAUGGGGCUAUUGUAUUGUUUGUUAAACCCUAUGAAGAAAAUUGUUAGAAGGGCUAUGAUGUACUACUGUCGUACUGAGAGAUGUCAAUGAAUGACUAAUGGUUAGAAGGGUUUACGAAAUUCCUUGGAGUCACUGCUGAUUAUUAUAUGGUUGAAUUAUGGGGAAUUUAUGAGCGUCUUUGCAUAGCAAGACUCUUUGGUAGUUGUUUAGAACACAAGGCAUGAGAAUAAUGAUAGUGUUAUGGAUAUAAAUCUUAUGAAGAAAAUCGUAGUGUGAGAAUCAAACUUUAAAUCUUGAGAAAGAGUACAUUUCAAAAAUCCAAGUCAAAACCAUCAGUGAGAAAGUCGAAUGAGUCAAACUAAGAGAUUUUGAUCACUCAUGUGUCUCAAAAAGCUAACAUGAGUUAUAAAAUUUUGAAUUUUUUUCACAGUCAUAUUUAGUUCAUUAUAAAAUUUUGAUUUUUUUUCACAGUCUUAUUUAGUUCAUUAUAAAAUUUUCUCUUACAAAAGUUUAAGUUUUUUAAAAAUGAAUGAAUUAAAUGUUAAUUUUUUACGUUUUGCUGCUUUAAAAUUCAUAUUUUGUUAAAAAAAAUCUUUUUUUUUUUCAAUCAAAAGAAAAUAUAAAAAAAAGAGGAAAUAGAAAAGCUAAGGGGGCAUAAACCUGACUCAACAAUCACAUAAUCAACCCAUAAAGCGUAUUACAACAGUGAUUAAACAAAAGUGGUAUAAAGAUACAAAUGCUUUGCGGUCAAAUACACAAGUACAAUUCGGCAAACCCAACGCGGGAUACGAAACCAAAUUUCAAAAGAAAGUGACGUAAAAAACAACAAGCAUAACCAUCAAACCAGACUAGAGACGAAUCUAAAUGAAAUUCAAACUCUUUUUUUUUUUUUUUUUUGUGGCGUAUGAACUGCCGCCAACACGGACAGAUUCACUGACCACCUACCGCUACAAAUAAAGACAGCAAGCAUCGCGGCCCUUUCGAGCACAACAAACUCUAAAAAAAAAUAUCUAUUUUGAGAGAAACCAUUCUUGUAAAAGAAAAACAUUGAGAGAAAAAGUAGAUGGAACAUGGCAUAACAUUCAUUAAUUCGAUCUAACAAAAUUGAUAUCUAAGAUGUGUGAGUGUUGUAAAUCCUUCAAAUUUACAAGGAUUCAAGUCCUUGAACAAAAAGUCGAGCAAAAUCUUCCAUUUGUUGCUUGUUCAAAGUCAAACCAAUCUCAAUUCCACCAUCAUUAUUCCUAUUUCCCGAAAGAUAAAAAGCUCCUGGUCUAUCAACCGAAGUAACAUCAACUUUCUUAGGCUUACCCCACCCAAAAUCAAAACUAUACACCUCAAACCUAGGUGACCCGGUAAUAGAAAAAAUCUUAUAAGUCUCAUCCGUUCUAGAUGUUUUAGAUUGCAUCAUUGACAUCCAAUUUUCCAAACCAUUUAACACACCAUUUUCCAAAUCAUUCAACACAUCAAUUAUCCCUUUAAGAGCACUAAUAAACCCACCAUCUUCCAACAAUGCCUCAGUUUCAUGCACAACUAAUCUUGACACAAUACAAUUCCCAAAAUAAUUUUCAUUAAUUGGUGGAUCCAAGCGUGACCUACAAUCAACAGCAAAAACCAAAAAUGCCUUAUUGGGUUUUUGUUGGUCAACUUUAACCCCUAAUGACAACAAAUAAGCACAUGUAACCGCAAAAGUUGAAACCUUUUUAUUUUCAACCUUAGAUUGUGCAUAUUUCUUAAGCUUUUGAAUAUCCAAAAGUGAUAAUUCAAACAAACCUUUGAUUGCUUCACCUUUUGUUGCACUUAUUGUUUGCCAAACCUUUAAGCUACGAUUAUUUGUUUCUCCACCAAAAUUCAUCCAUUUUUUUGAAUGAAUUUCAUUUAUUCCUAAAGGGUCUUUUAUAAUGGACCUAUCAAAAAAAGGUGUUAGAUUUUGAGGUAAAAACAAAGAGGGUGUGUUUUUUUCAAGGUUGGAACAAAAAUAAGACCAAGCUUUCAUAAACAAGGUUGAAGAUUUUCCAUCAACAGCUGCAUGGUGUGUGGUUAUACCAAUACAAAAUCCAUGGUUAGGAAAAAAAG
Molecule: long non-coding RNA, 16997 nt
Filed under: Medicago truncatula (barrel medic)
Lineage: Eukaryota; Viridiplantae; Streptophyta; Magnoliopsida; Fabales; Fabaceae
Description: long non-coding RNA (MTRU_LNC003849)
Source: RNAcentral